This is a small nucleolar RNA of Amazona collaria (yellow-billed parrot), 129 nucleotides long. The record is from Ensembl. Lineage: Eukaryota; Metazoa; Chordata; Aves; Psittaciformes; Psittacidae.
UUGGCCCUCAAUCAAGGCCAGCGGUUUGCUGUAGCUGCUGGUUUCAAACAGGAGCCCAGAGGAAGCAGCUCCCGGUCUGUUGGUGCUCCCAUCCCCGUGGAUCAACCAAUUCGUGUGGGAGCAACAGGA